Rhincodon typus (whale shark) is the source of this 592-nucleotide long non-coding RNA. RefSeq lists it as uncharacterized. The transcript has 3 exons. NCBI's taxonomy places the organism in Eukaryota, Metazoa, Chordata, Chondrichthyes, Orectolobiformes, Rhincodontidae. The record is from RefSeq and is a predicted model, not a curated record.
UGCAGAAUCUAUUGUAACGAGAAUUUAUGACUGCACAGCAGGAAGGAGAGCAAAGAUUUACUGCACCAAGGUGGAAAGGAUUUCUGAAAUAGCCUAAUCAUUAAUAAGAAAAGGAUGGAGCCACUGAUUAGGAGAUAAUGAUUGGAGAUGGUGGGGGGGCAAGAUGAGUUCUGCAGGAAGUUUCCCACUUGCUCAAAGUCGCCUUUCACCUUUAGCUAUGCAGUCAUCGUUCUGUGCAUUUUCUUUUCUACUGACAUGAAAAGGGGGAAUGCUUGUGAUCUGGAAUUUGCUUGUAACAUUUUAUUGCUCUUGAUCCCCCGUCGACAGGAUUGCACUUCAAAACAACAGACUUGGGAGUCGUCAACAACUUCUAAAGUGGUCGGAAAGGGCUCCAAGGCUCCAGUUUUUCAGUUUCCAUACAAUGAUGUCAGCAGUUUCCAUGGAAAACAGCGCAGCUGUCAGCAAAGAGCCUGAAUUGUAAAAUUGUACAAGUCUGAAAGUUCAAUACAACCUCACCAGUAAGAACACAAAUCAAAUAGCUCAGUAAUUAUUCUUUCCUCAGUUGUUUCAGCAGCGCAAGGACCAAAUGAAG